UACACAUGUAUUACUAUGCGACAUUGC
RNAcentral lists this small RNA (27 nucleotides) under Bombyx mori (domestic silkworm). RNAcentral's name for it is "ovarian small RNA-5930". The record is from RNAcentral. Lineage: Eukaryota; Metazoa; Arthropoda; Insecta; Lepidoptera; Bombycidae.